This 478-nucleotide ribosomal RNA is filed under the name uncultured bacterium. RNAcentral describes it as "partial 16S ribosomal RNA". It matches the Rfam family "Bacterial small subunit ribosomal RNA", at positions 29 to 507 of the family's 1533-position model. The record is from RNAcentral.
AUUGAACGCUGGCGGCAGGCCUAACACAUGCAAGUCGAGCGGAUGAAGGGAGCUUGCUCCUGGAUUCAGCGGCGGACGGGUGAGUAAUGCCUAGGAAUCUGCCUGGUAGUGGGGGAUAACGUCCGGAAACGGGCGCUAAUACCGCAUACGUCCUGAGGGAGAAAGUGGGGGAUCUUCGGACCUCACGCUAUCAGAUGAGCCUAGGUCGGAUUAGCUAGUUGGUGGGGUAAAGGCCUACCAAGGCGACGAUCGGUAACUGGUCUGAGAGGAUGAUCGGACAGAAUAGGAAUGAGAGACGGCCCAGACUGCUACGGGAGGGAGGAGGGGGGAAUAGUGGACAAGGGGCGGAAGCCUGAUGCAGCGACGGAGCGUGGGGGAUAACGGCCUUCGGGUGGUAAACAACUUUCGAGCGCGAAGAAGCCACCUGGUUGGAAGGGUGGGGACGGUAGUGGUAGAAGAAGCACCGGCUAACUACGUG